AGAACGAACGCUGGCGGCAUGCCUAAUACAUGCAAGUCGAACGAACUCUUCGGAGUUAGUGGCGCACGGGUGCGUAACGCGUGGGAAUCUGCCCUUGGGUUCGGAAUAACAGUUGGAAACGACUGCUAAUACCGGAUGAUGACGAAAGUCCAAAGAUUUAUCGCCCAGGGAUGAGCCCGCGUAGGAUUAGCUAGUUGGUGAGGUAAAGGCUCACCAAGGCGACGAUCCUUAGCCUGGUCUGAAGGGAGUAGAG
Molecule: ribosomal RNA, 253 nt
Filed under: uncultured soil bacterium
Lineage: Bacteria
Description: partial 16S ribosomal RNA
Rfam family: Bacterial small subunit ribosomal RNA
Source: RNAcentral